This 511-nucleotide ribosomal RNA is filed under the name uncultured bacterium. Its description in RNAcentral is "bacterial SSU rRNA". It matches the Rfam family "Bacterial small subunit ribosomal RNA", at positions 15 to 518 of the family's 1533-position model. The record is from RNAcentral.
GAUUAUGGCUCAGGAUGAACGCUAGCUACAGGCUUAACACAUGCAAGUCGAGGGGCAGCAUGAUCGAAGCUUGCUUGAUGAUGGCGACCGGCGCACGGGUGAGUAACGCGUAUCCAACCUUCCCUAUAGUAGAGAAUAGCCCGGCGAAAGUCGGAUUAAUGCUCUAUGUUGUAUUUAGAGGACAUCUGAAGAAUACCAAAGGUUUACCGCUAUAGGAUGGGGAUGCGUCUGAUUAGGUUGUUGGCGGGGUAACGGCCCACCAAGCCCACGAUCAGUAGGGGUUCUGAGAGGAAGGUCCCCCACAUUGGAACUGAGACACGGUCCGAACUCCUACGGGAGGCAGCAGUGAGGAAUAUUGGUCAAUGGACGGAAGUCUGAACCAGCCAAGUAGCGUGCAGGAUGACGGCCCUAUGGGUUGUAAACUGCUUUUAUACAGGGAUAAAGUGAGGGACGUGUCCCUUUUGUAGGUACUGUAUGAAUAAGGACCGGCUAAUUCCGUGCCAGCCGCUGC